This 253-nucleotide ribosomal RNA is filed under the name uncultured bacterium. Its description in RNAcentral is "partial 16S ribosomal RNA". It matches the Rfam family "Bacterial small subunit ribosomal RNA", at positions 524 to 776 of the family's 1533-position model. The record is from RNAcentral.
UACGGAGGGUGCAAACGUUGCUCGGAAUCAUUGGGCGUAAAGCGCACGUAGGCGGCCUGUUAAGUUGGGUGUGAAAGCCCUCGGCUCAACCGAGGAAGUGCACUCAAAACUGGCGGGCUUGAAUAUGGAAGAGGGUCGCGGAAUUCCCGGUGUAGAGGUGAAAUUCGUAGAUAUCGGGAGGAACACCAGUGGCGAAGGCGGCGACCUGGGCCAAUAUUGACGCUGAGGUGCGAAAGCGUGGGGAGCAAACAGG